CGCGACGGUUCAGCUCGCCAGCCGUUUGCGACGGUGAGUUUUCUUUUUCAAAUAUUCUGACUUCAAAAAGUUAAACCUUUCUUUUAUAGUUUCAACAUUCAAUAUUUUUUGAAAUGAAAUGCUCAACAUUCAAUCUUAGUUUCAGCAUCUUUGACUUUGAGGCUUUAGUUUUUCAGUGUAAAGCUUUAUGAGUUUCACUCCAAGCCUUCAAGAUUUAAGAGUUCAAGAAUCUUGCUAGAAGAAAACAGCUCUCUUUCUCUUUUGUGGCUGAAGAAAUUGUGUGGAACAAGGUGAAGAAUACAAGUUAACUUUGGAUUUUUUCUGAAAGUUGUAAACUUAGUUUGAGCAAACUAAGUAAAUUCUAGUUAAAAACUUAUAAAUCUCUAUAUAUACUUGUGAUGUUGGAAAUUGGUUUUGUGGUGGGUUGUGUUGGAGCAAGCGGGUGGCUUGCAUGGUGUUAUAAGGUGGUUUAAAUAUAUAUUGGGAGUGUUUUUUAUUUCUUGUAAAUGUGAAUGAGUAUUGUUGAUUAGAUGUGAUGAAUAGUAAAUACAUAUUGAGAGUGUUUUUCAUUUCUUGCAAACGUGAAUGAGUAUUGUUGAUUAAAUGUGAUGAAUAGUAUUUUAUUUGAUUUCAAUACUUGUAAGCAUUAUACUUGUGAUAUUUGUGAUUGGUUUUGUGGUGGGUUGUUGUAUUGGAGCAAGCGGGUGUCUUGCAU
Molecule: long non-coding RNA, 715 nt
Organism: Quercus robur (English oak)
Lineage: Eukaryota; Viridiplantae; Streptophyta; Magnoliopsida; Fagales; Fagaceae
Exons: 3
Source: RefSeq, a predicted model, not a curated record